This 253-nucleotide ribosomal RNA is filed under the name uncultured bacterium. Its description in RNAcentral is "partial 16S ribosomal RNA". It matches the Rfam family "Bacterial small subunit ribosomal RNA", at positions 524 to 776 of the family's 1533-position model. The record is from RNAcentral.
GACAGAGGCCACGAGCGUUAGGCGGAAUCACUGGGCUUAAAGCGUGUGUAGGCGGGUCCGUAAGUGUCUUGUGAAAUCCCACGGCUCAACCGUGGAACUGCUGGGCAUACUGCGGACCCUGAGCCGGCCAGGGGUCACCGGAACAAGCGGUGGAGCGGUGAAAUGCGUAGAUAUCGCUUGGAACGCCAACGGUGAAAACAGGUGACUGGGGCCGCGCUGACGCUGAGACACGAAAGCCAGGGGAGCAAACGGG